ACCCGCACAAGCGGCGGAGCAUGCGGCUUAAUUCGAUGAUACCCGUAGAACCUUACCUGGACUUGACAUAUAGGGAAAAACUAAAGAAAUUUAGUGUGCGUAAGCGCCCUAUACAGGUGGUGCAUGGCUGUCGUCAGCUCGUGUCGUGAGAUGUUGGUUAAGUCCCGCAACGAGCGCAACCCCCUGUCCUAUGUUGCCAGCAAGUAAUGUUGGGGACUCAUAGGAGACUGCCGUGAUAAACCGGAGGAAGGUGUGGAUGACGUCAAGUCAUCAUGCCCUUACAUCUGGGCUACACACGUACUACAAUGCUACGGACAAAGGGCUGCAAGUUCGCGAGGACAAGCAAAUCCCAUAAACGUGGCUCAGUUCAGA
This 372-nucleotide ribosomal RNA is filed under the name uncultured bacterium. RNAcentral describes it as "bacterial SSU rRNA". It matches the Rfam family "Bacterial small subunit ribosomal RNA", at positions 920 to 1297 of the family's 1533-position model. The record is from RNAcentral.